Molecule: ribosomal RNA, 384 nt
Filed under: uncultured bacterium
Lineage: Bacteria
Description: bacterial SSU rRNA
Rfam family: Bacterial small subunit ribosomal RNA
Source: RNAcentral
GACGAACGCUGGCGGCGUGCUUAACACAUGCAAGUCGAGCGGUAAGGCCCUUUCGGGGGUACGACGAGCGGCGAACGGGUGAGUAACACGUGGGUGACCUGCCCUCAGCUCUGGGAUAAGCCUGGGAAACUGGGUCUAAUACCCGGAUAUGACUCCAUGACGCAUGUUGUGGGGUGGAAAGCCUUGUGCGGCUGAGGAUGGGCCCGCGGCCUAUCAGCUUGUUGGUGGGGUGAGGCCUACCAAGGCGACGACGGGUAGCCGGCCUGAGAGGGCGACCGGCCACACUGGGACUGAGACACGGCCCAGACUCCUACGGGAGGCAGCAGUGGGGAAUCUUGCGCAAUGGGCGAAAGCCUGACGCAGCGACGCCGCGUGAGGGAUGAC